AGAGGCAGAACAGGAUUUAAUCUCCUUCCUCUCACCUAAUCCUUCAAAAACUAAAUCCGCAAUAAAUGCUUUUGAUGAUCUUGAAGCGCUUGAUCUUGAACUGCCUGCC
Eurytemora carolleeae is the source of this 109-nucleotide long non-coding RNA. RefSeq lists it as uncharacterized. The record is from RefSeq and is a predicted model, not a curated record. The transcript is spliced from 2 exons. NCBI's taxonomy places the organism in Eukaryota, Metazoa, Arthropoda, Copepoda, Calanoida, Temoridae.